RNAcentral lists this ribosomal RNA (253 nucleotides) under uncultured bacterium. Its description in RNAcentral is "partial 16S ribosomal RNA". It matches the Rfam family "Bacterial small subunit ribosomal RNA", at positions 524 to 776 of the family's 1533-position model. The record is from RNAcentral.
UACGUAGGGGGCAAGCGUUGUCCGGAUUUAUUGGGCGUAAAGAGCGUGUAGGCGGCCUUACAGGUCAGCUGUGAAAACUCGAGGCUCAACCUCGAGACGUCGGUUGAAACCGUAUGGCUAGAGUCCGGAAGAGGAGAGUGGAAUUCCCGGUGUAGCGGUGAAAUGCGCAGAUAUCAGGAAGAACACCCGUGGCGAAAGCGGCUCUCUGGGACGGUACUGACGCUGAGACGCGAAAGCGUGGGGAGCGAACAGG